CUUGCUUCUCUUGAGAGCGGCGGACGGGUGAGUAAUGCCUAGGAAUCUGCCUGGUAGUGGGGGAUAACGUCCGGAAACGGACGCUAAUACCGCAUACGUCCUACGGGAGAAAGCAGGGGACCUUCGGGCCUUGCGCUAUCAGAUGAGCCUAGGUCGGAUUAGCUAGUUGGUGGGGUAAUGGCUCACCAAGGCGACGAUCCGUAACUGGUCUGAGAGGAUGAUCAGUCACACUGGAACUGAGACACGGUCCAGACUCCUACGGGAGGCAGCAGUGGGGAAUAUUGGACAAUGGGCGAAAGCCUGAUCCAGCCAUGCCGCGUGUGUGAAGAAGGUCUUCGGAUUGUAAAGCACUUUAAGUUGGGAGGAAGGGCAGUAAAUUAAUACUUUGCUGUUUUGACGUUACCGACAGAAUAAGCACCGGCUAACUCUGUGCCAGCAGCCGCGGUAAUACAGAGGGUGCAAGCGUUAAUCGGAAUUACUGGGCGUAAAGCGCGCGUAGGUGGUUCGUUAAGUUGGAUGUGAAAUCCCCGGGCUCAACCUGGGAACUGCAUUCAAAACUGACGAGCUAGAGUAUGGUAGAGGGUGGUGGAAUUUCCUGUGUAGCGGUGAAAUGCGUAGAUAUAGGAAGGAACACCAGUGGCGAAAGCGACCACCUGGACUGAUACUGACACUGAGUGCGAAAGCGUGGGGAGCAAACAGGAUUAGAUACCCUGGUAGUCCACGCCGUAACGAUGUCAACUAGCCGUUGGGAGCCUUGAGCUCUUAGUGGCGCAGCUAACGCAUUA
RNAcentral lists this ribosomal RNA (785 nucleotides) under uncultured bacterium. RNAcentral describes it as "bacterial SSU rRNA". It matches the Rfam family "Bacterial small subunit ribosomal RNA", at positions 79 to 862 of the family's 1533-position model. The record is from RNAcentral.